GGUACGAGGCCCGUUCAUGCUGCGGUUACAUCGCGACUGAUCCUGAUCGUGCAUCACGCCUGCCUUCUUAAAACUAGUUUCGGACAAUCGCCGUAUAGGAAAAUUGUCGAUGGAAGGAUUACGCAAUGGCUACCUUACACUUGCUUCUUCAAUUGCUAACCCUUGAACGUAACUCAGCCGGCGUUUGGACUGUAACGAGAGGAACGUUCCUAUGUAUUACAUACGAUAACGAUCCUACUGACUUUACAUCGACGAUCUUUCUAUGUACUUCAUGAGAUAUCUAACUCCUAUGAAUAUAUUAUCACUUCUUCUUGUAA
This 317-nucleotide long non-coding RNA is filed under the name Polistes fuscatus (common paper wasp). RNAcentral describes it as "uncharacterized LOC122526476". The record is from RNAcentral. Lineage: Eukaryota; Metazoa; Arthropoda; Insecta; Hymenoptera; Vespidae.